Long non-coding RNA from Manis pentadactyla (Chinese pangolin), 5252 nucleotides. RefSeq lists it as uncharacterized. Lineage: Eukaryota; Metazoa; Chordata; Mammalia; Pholidota; Manidae. The transcript has 3 exons. The record is from RefSeq and is a predicted model, not a curated record.
UCUUCUUCAAAGCCCACGCCAGUGCCAGAUCGUGACUUGCUAUGUUACCAACUGCUUAACAGUGGGCUUGGCCUGUAGUGUUAAUGUCAGAAUAUAAAAUGGGGUCUGAGCCCCAAGGCUACAGCUUUGCUCCUGCCUCCCAGUGCUUCCUUGAGUGGGCAGCCACUCACACCCUCUGCAGCCCAGAAGCCUAGGAGCAACGGGAAACUAAGAGAAGGGAGCCAGCAUGUCACCACGCCUGUCCUGACCCCAGCGCUCGGCAGCUGUGGCGCCCAGAGCUCCCAGGGCUGCGUUAGGACCUCCGUGGGCCUGCGAACUUUUGCUUUGUGAAAACCAUUUCCUCCUUGUCAUGGACUCCAUCCAGAGGCUGCGCCCAUCUCCCACGUCAACAGUCCUGUGUCCUUGGCGGAGGACAGUGCUCUCAUUCUGGGCUUUUCCCUUCUUCCUCAGCCAGACCUCACUCCUGCACCUCCCCGCAGCUAAUAAAAAGGCUGAGCUCCCUGGUGCAGGAAAGGCCCCCACCCGCUGGCAUUCACGUGAGACCUGCAGGGGCCACUGGUCCCAAUCCUCAACUCCUCUCGCCACGUGUUCCCAGGGCAACUAGCUCUGUCCCAGCCUCGGUGUGUCCCUGGGCUGAAUGGAAUCCGGACACAACCACCUUCCAAAGCCAAACAGCCCCAGUGAACUGCAGAAAUGAAGAGUGGGUGCCACCUGCCACCGAGAAAAGAAAGUCUCCUGUGAGAGGGCAUGACUUGAUUUGGGUCAAAAGGCACUUGCUGGCGCAGGAAGGCAGGAUUUGGGGGAGUUGUGGGCGGAGUGGAGUAUGUUUCCUCUUGUCUGGUGGGAUCAGCCCCUCCAGCAAGCAGCCACCUGGCCCAGCUCUGGAAGAUGUGGAGAACGAAUUUCACAGUGAUUUCCAUGGGGCCAGGGCACUGAAACAGCUGCAAGAGGGGACACAGCUGGCACUGCCGUCACCCCAUCUAGUGGAGCUGCUCUGGAGAAAUGCCACCCUCCCUAUGGAAAGUGAGAGAUCCUACUUGCUUCUUUCCAGAGGUCAUGUGAAAGUCCCUCUGAGCUAACCCUGACUGGCAAGGGUACAGGUUGGCUUUUAUUAAAAUAAAAUCCUAUUGUCACUUAUACCAGGGGCUCCCAAACCUGGCAGAACAUCAGGAUCACCCAGAAUAUUGAUUUAAAAAUAAAAAUUAAUGAAAAUAAUAAGUUUGGGAACCCACACCAGACCUAAGAAUCAGCAACUUUUUGGGUAAGGCUCGAGCUAGAAUAAAUGUGAAUCAAUUCAAUCAGACUCUCUCCCAACUCCAGGAGUGAGCCCAUAGAAUGAGAGCCCAUAGGAGGGAGAAUGGUGGGGGCUCCAGUGACAGAGAAUAAGGCUUCGAGUCGCCACCCGUAGGGAUCUCUGUGUGCAUGCCGGAGAACUGAAGUCUUCUCAUACAUUGUCAGACAAACCCAUGAGGUAUGUCCAGUUCUUAUUCUCAUUUUGCUGAUGAGGAAAUGGGAGCUCAGAGAGGUCACACGGGUAGUAAGAGGCAGAGCCAGAACUCAGGUCCAGCUCUUUCUCUUAACAUUCUGCUGUGGAAGGGAUAAUGUGAAACCUGGCAGCACCUUGGGAGUUAGGCCACUACGUGACCCAGUUGUGGUUUCAACACCAUGCGUUUUCUGGACACUUGUCUCUGGUGGGCUCAGUUCCCCUGUGCUCGCUCCCCUCACAUCAGUUCAUCAAGCACGUGUGGAUGCAGAGAUGGUCAGGAUGGCCACCAUCAAGACAGGACAGCUCAGUGAAAGGGCAUCUGGUUCCAGUACCAACACCCCAAACUGUAAAGGGGGCCUGGGUAUACUUUCUAUGUAAAGAGGCAGAUGGACUGGUGGGCGACCUGUGGGGGUCCAUCAGCUCUUCAAAAACAGGCUCAGUAGAGCCCAGCACAACCUCACUAGACACUGUCCCUUUCCCACUCUAAGCCCCUCCAUGGCAAGAGCCUUCUCUUGUCUGCAAGAACAAAAUCAGUUCCUCCUUUAAUUACAAUGAGCCUCUCCCAACACCACAGGGAAGGGCAGUGAACAGUGCCCAGCACACUGCUUGGGAGAGGAUGUCUGCAUGGCUAUCUCCCUGCUAGCUUCUCACAGGCCAGGAGACUGACCCUUUCCAGCGCUGUAUCCUGUGCUCUAUAUCAGGACUGGGGACGGCAUUGUACAGGAAGAAAGAGAAGGAAGAAAGGAAAGGGAAGGAAAGGAAGGAAGGAAGGAAGGAAGGAAGGUCGGGCUCAAAGAGGCCCUUCACUCCGGAGGCCUCUGAAGACACCAGCCUGAUCAGUCGGGUCCCACGACACCGCCCCGGCCGGGUCAGCUUUGCCCCUCUCGGACUCUCCUGGGUGAGGGACUGUUAAGGCGGGGCUGUGACUGGAUGGCCGAGGCUGAGCCGAGGAGGACCACUGCUGGGAAUGAGUUCCCACACCCCUGCCUCUCCAUUCAGACAUCCUGGAUACCACUCAACAUCCUGGAGUAGGGCCCAGGAUUCUUAGGCCACAUCAGAUGGGCAGCUGAGGGCCCUGCCUUGGAGGAAGGCAUAAUCCUUUGUGAGUUGGGGCUGGAGUGAAUUCUUCACAGGUUGCGGAUGCCCCUCAGGCAUAGGCUGAGGGAUGAGGGCCCCAGAUUGGGGCACCAGACUUCUGGCUGCAGGGUAGUCAGGGCCUCCCUUCUGACAAAGAAGAGGCGGUAAUAUGGGUCCCAGAGACUCAGCAGUGAAUAGAGAGGGGAGAGGCCAGGCCCAUUUCACUAGAGGUCCAGUCAGGCAGACACUCAGCAUGAGCAUCAGGGCUGGAAGAAGUCUGCGGAGACUGAUCACCUGAAGCUACAGGUGAGACCCAGAGAGGGAUACUUUCUGCCAAAGGCUAAGUAAUGGCCCCAGAUAUGUUCAGGUAAUCCACAGAACCUGUGAAUAUUCUUAUAUGGCAUAAGAACUUUGUGGAUGUGAUUAAAUUAAGUCUUGAGAUGGGGAUUAUCCGGUGGGCCCAGUGUGAUCCAAGUACCCUUACAAGAGGGUGCGGGAGAGCUAGGAUUGGAGGGGGCCAUGCAGUGACGGAGCAGAGGUUGGAAUGAUGCUCCCUGCAGAUGGAGGAAGGGGCCACAAGCCAGGGAACUCAGGCACUAGAUGCCGGAAAAGGCAAAAGGCCAGGAGACCCAUCCUCCCCUGCAGCCCCCAGGAGAAGCCAAACCCUUGACUUAAGCCCAGUGAGACUGAUUUGAACUUUGUACCUGCAGAGGAUAAAUUUGUAUUAUUUAAGCCAUUCAGUUUGUGGUGAUCUGUUACACAGCAAUAGGAAAGUCAUAUGCCUGUGAUCCCUGCUCUGUGUACCCCACUGAACUGGUCCUAGCCAAGGUCACCAGGGACCAAAGUUUUGCCAACCCAGGGGCCCUUAUCAGUACUUCUGUCUCUUGACCUUUUGGCAGUGUUUGAUAUAUCCAAUUGCCAAAGGGUUCCCCUGCUUCCUCCUCAGCAAACUGGUAUUUCUGAAGUACAUUCCCACCUUCCCUGCCUGUUGAAAUCUGAUUCACUUGUCUGUUCCUCCAGUCACCUCCUCCAGGAAGUCUUCCAUGUCCAUCAUGCCAUAUUCCUGAUUUUUUAAAUUUUGGUUUGUUUGGUUUUUAAUUAGUGAUCUUUAUUUUUUAGCACAGCUAUAGGUUCACAGCAAAAUCGAGCUUACAGUACAGAGAGUUUCAUGCAGCACUGUUUUCAUAAGGUUUGCCAGCUUCCAUUGACAUUACCUUCUUUAUUCUGCUCAACAGCUCUGUGAGGUAGGAUGAAUUUUAUCCUUUCUCUUUUUUUGAUCCAGCUUUAUUGAAGCAUAAUUGAAUAAAUAAAAAUUGUAUAAUGUGAGGUGAACAACGUGAUGGUUUGAUAUAGGUAUACAUUGUGAGAUGAUUAUCACAAUCAAGCUAAUUAACAUGUGUUAAUCAAGCAUAAUUAACACAACAACCCUUUUGGGGGUGAAAAUAGUUAUGAUCUAAUGCAUAAUUUAAUAUUAGUAACUAUAGUCACCAUGCUAAUGUAUUAUAUCUCCAGAAAUUAUUCCUCUUAUAAUUGAAAGUUUGUCCCCUUUGACCAACAUCUCUCCAUUUCCCCUACGCCCCGCUGUUUUCUCAGUGCCUGGUACACAGCAGGUGCACAAUGAAGAUCCACUGAAAGUGACUCUGGUGUGAGCCUGGCCUCCUCACAGGGCCUCUGCCUCAGGUGGCACUGGGCCACUUUCCCACAGGGCCCACCCUCUGUGGUUUGGCAACACUGGGCAAUGGAAAGAGGCCCAGAGCCGUGUCUCCUGGUCCUAACCUAUCUCUCACAUGCCGGGGCCUUGUGGCCUUGGACUCCCCAUCUGAAGAGGGGUCAGAUGAUCUCUGCCCUGGUUACCCUCCUGGAGGCCCCAAGGAUGGGUUGGAAGGGAAUCCUCCACAGAGGGUGCUCCCACACCAGGCUCUGGGGGCUUCGAGUAGGACCUGCUCAGGUUGUGCACCUGAGCCCAGGACCUGACUACCAAGCCCAGGAGAGCACCUGCCCCAACCUGAGCUCCCUCUGCUUGGCUCACACAGCUCCCCGGGGCUCCAGGGUGUUUCUGAGAGGCUGUGGGGAGCAGCAGGGGCUGAGCCCAGCCUGGGAGCACCAAGGACUUCAGGCCUUAGCUUCUGGCAGGGCUCCAGGCACACAGGCUGGGUGGAGAGGGUGCACCUGAACCCCCAAAACCAUCUAUGGGUCUCAAAGUAUGCAGUGAAUGUGGUAAAGCACUGCUCUGGGGUUUCCUGCUACUUCUGUUCAAAUUAAUACCAUUUAUCAAGUAGGCAUUAGUUGGAGACACCAAGAACUUUGCAGACAUUUGCCUCCCCUGAUUUGAUAAUUCUAAUCCCAGGAAUUUACCCUAAAGAAAUCAUAAGAGAUGAAUGCAAAGAUGUAUGUGCAAGGAUGUUAUAACAGCAAACAACGUGGAAAUAGCUUAAAUGUCUAACAAGAGAUUGGAUUAAUAGUGUGCCAUGCUAUAAGAUACUAUGCAGACAUAUACUUUCAAACACUAUUUUAAUGACACAGGAAAAUUCUUAUGAUGCAAUUUAUGUAGGAAAAAAUCAUUUUAUAUAUAUAUAUAUAUAAUGAGGGCUUGAUAUGUGUGUGUAUCUGUAUAUACAUAUAUUGUAUCUCAUUUUUAUUGAAAUGUGUGUAUAUAUACUAAUAAUGUUUACUUCUAUUUCAUGGGAUG